RNAcentral lists this ribosomal RNA (481 nucleotides) under uncultured bacterium. RNAcentral describes it as "partial 16S ribosomal RNA". It matches the Rfam family "Bacterial small subunit ribosomal RNA", at positions 28 to 507 of the family's 1533-position model. The record is from RNAcentral.
GAUGAACGCUGGCGGCGUGCCUAACACAUGCAAGUCGAACGGAGAUUACGGACGGAAGUUUUCGGAUGGAAGCCUGUAAUUCUUAGUGGCGGACGGGUGAGUAACGCGUGGGCAACCUGCCCUAUACAGGGGGAUAGCAGCUGGAAACGGCUGGUAAGACCGCAUAAGUCGGUUAAAUCGCAUGAUUUGAUCGGGAAAUGAGCAAUCAGGUAUAGGAUGGGCCCGCGUCCGAUUAGCCAGUUGGCAGGGUAAAAGCCUACCAAAGCGACGAUCGGUAGCCGGACUGAGAGGUCGGACGGCCACAUUGGGACUGAGACACGGCCCAAACUCCUACGGGAGGCAGCAGUGGGGGAUAUUGCACAAUGGAGGAAACUCUGAUGCAGCGACGCCGCGUGAGUGAAGAAGUAUUUCGGUAUGUAAAGCUCUAUCAGCAGGGAGGAUGAUGACGGUACCUGACGAAGAAGCCCCGGCUAACUACGUG